This 501-nucleotide ribosomal RNA is filed under the name uncultured Oscillospiraceae bacterium. RNAcentral describes it as "partial 16S ribosomal RNA". The record is from RNAcentral. Lineage: Bacteria; Bacillati; Bacillota; Clostridia; Eubacteriales; Oscillospiraceae.
CACGUAGUUAGCCGGAGCUUCCUCCCCAGGUACCGUCAUCUUCGUCCCUGGGGACAGUAGUUUACAAUCCAGAGGACCGUCUUCCUACACGCGGCGUCGCUGCAUCAGGGUUUCCCCCAUUGUGCAAUAUCCCCCACUGCUGCCUCCCGUAGGAGUCUGGGCCGUGUCUCAGUCCCAAUGUGGCCGUUCAACCUCUCAGUCCGGCUACCGAUCGUCGGCUUGGUGGGCCAUUACCUCACCAACUACCUAAUCGGACGCGAGCCCAUCUUCGAGCGAUAAAUCUUUGAUACAAAAGGGAUGUCCCUCCUGUAUGUUAUGCGGUAUUAGCGACCGUUUCCAGCCGUUAUUCCCCUCUCGAAGGCAGGUUGCUCACGUGUUACUCACCCGUCCGCCACUAAACUAUACAAAAUUCCAUCCGAAAACUUCAUCUUGCAUAGUCCCGUUCGACUUGCAUGUGUUAGGCGCGCCGCCAGCGUUCGUCCUGAGCCAGGAUCAAACUCU